CUACGGGGCGCAGCAGUGAGGAAUAUUGCACAAUGGGGGGAACCCUGAUGCAGCAACGCCGCGUGGAGGAUGACGCAUUUCGGUGUGUAAACUCCUUUUAUAUGUCAAGAAAAUGACGGUAGCAUAUGAAUAAGCGCCGGCUAACUCCGUGCCAGCAGCCGCGGUAAUACGGAGGGCGCAAGCGUUACUCGGAAUCACUGGGCGUAAAGGACGCGUAGGCGGGUUGAAAAGUCAGGUGUGAAAGCCUACAGCUUAACUGUAGAACUGCACUUGAAACUCUCAAUCUAGAGUAUGGGAGGGGCAGAUGGAAUUAGUGGUGUAGGGGUAAAAUCCGUAGAUAUCACUAGGAAUACCUAAAGCGAAGGCGAUCUGCUGGAACAUUACUGACGCUAAGGCGUGAAGGCGUGGGGAGCAAACAGGAUUAGAUACCCCCGUAGUC
Molecule: ribosomal RNA, 439 nt
Filed under: uncultured bacterium
Lineage: Bacteria
Description: partial 16S ribosomal RNA
Rfam family: Bacterial small subunit ribosomal RNA
Source: RNAcentral